GAUGAACGCUGGCGGCAGGCUUAACACAUGCAAGUCGAACGCAUCCUUCGGGGUGAGUGGCAGACGGGUGAGUAACGCGUGGGAACGUGCCCUUCAGUUCGGGAUAACCCAGGGAAACUUGGGCUAAUACCGGAUACGUGCGAGAGCAGAAAGAUUUAUCGCUGAAGGAUCGGCCCGCGUCUGAUUAGCUAGUUGGUGGGGUAAUGGCCCACCAAGGCGACGAUCAGUAGCUGGUCUGAGAGGAUGAUCAGCCACAUUGGGACUGAGACACGGCCCAAACUCCUACGGGAGGCAGCAGUGGGGAAUAUUGGACAAUGGGCGCAAGCUAGAUCCAGCCAUGCCGCGUGAGUGAUGAAGGCCUUAGGGUUGUAAAGCUCUUUCGUCCGGGACGAUAAUGACGGUACCGGAAGAAGAAGCCCCGGCUAACUUCGUGCCAGCCGCCGCCGUAA
Molecule: ribosomal RNA, 449 nt
Filed under: uncultured bacterium
Lineage: Bacteria
Description: partial 16S ribosomal RNA
Rfam family: Bacterial small subunit ribosomal RNA
Source: RNAcentral